This is a long non-coding RNA of Engraulis encrasicolus (European anchovy), 273 nucleotides long. RefSeq lists it as uncharacterized. The record is from RefSeq and is a predicted model, not a curated record. Lineage: Eukaryota; Metazoa; Chordata; Actinopteri; Clupeiformes; Engraulidae. The transcript has 3 exons.
CUCUGCAUUUUCAUUUUGGUACACCAGCAAAUGAAAUGAACACCUCCCAUCCGGAUUGGGCACCAUCACUGCACUUGGGGUACACGACCAAGACAGUCACCACCACCACCGAGACUUCUCGCUAUGAGACAGGAACAAAGAAAACGACGAAGGACUGAGAGCAUAGCGUCGAUGGAUGAGACACCCCUUGUUACACCAGUGGAGACAACUGGGGGAGCAUCAGCAUCAGCACCUGCAGGCCUAGAGGAUGAAGCUGACCAGGGGGCCGUGUGU